RNAcentral lists this ribosomal RNA (477 nucleotides) under uncultured bacterium. RNAcentral describes it as "partial 16S ribosomal RNA". It matches the Rfam family "Bacterial small subunit ribosomal RNA", at positions 30 to 507 of the family's 1533-position model. The record is from RNAcentral.
AUUGAACGCUGGCGGCAUGCCUUACACAUGCGAGUCGAACGGUAACAGGUUAAGCUGACGAGUGGCGAACGGGUGAGUAAUGUAUCGGAACGUGCCCAGUCGUGGGGGAUAAUUGCUCGAAAGAGCAGCUAACACCGCAUACGACCUGAGGGUGAAAGCGGGGGAUCGCAAGACCUUGCGCGAUUGGAGCGGCCGAUAUCAGAUUAGGUAGUUGGUGGGGUAAAGGCUCACCAAGCCGACGAUCUGUAGCUGGCCUGUGAGGACGAUCAGCCACACUGGGGCUGAGACACGGCCCAGACUCCUACGGGAGGCAGCAGUGGGGAAUGUUGGACAAUGGGCGCAAGCCUUAUCCAGCCAUGCCGCGUGCGGGAAGAAGGCCUUCGGGUUGUAAACCGCUUUUGUCAGGGAAGAAAAGGUUCUGGCUAGUACCUGGGGCUCAUGACGGUACCUGAAGAAUAAGCACCGGCUAACUACGUG